Molecule: ribosomal RNA, 253 nt
Filed under: uncultured bacterium
Lineage: Bacteria
Description: partial 16S ribosomal RNA
Rfam family: Bacterial small subunit ribosomal RNA
Source: RNAcentral
UACAGAGGUCUCAAGCGUUGUUCGGAUUCAUUGGGCGUAAAGGGUGCGUAGGCGGCGCGGUAAGUCGGGUGUGAAAUCUCGGAGCUUAACUCCGAAACUGCAUUCGAUACUACCGUGCUUGAGGACUGGAGAGGAGACUGGAAUUUACGGUGUAGCGGUGAAAUGCGUAGAUAUCGUAAGGAAGACCAGUGGCGAAGGCGGGUCUCUGGACAGUUCCUGACGCUGAGGCACGAAGGUCAGGGGAGCAAACAGG